Molecule: ribosomal RNA, 487 nt
Filed under: uncultured bacterium
Lineage: Bacteria
Description: bacterial SSU rRNA
Rfam family: Bacterial small subunit ribosomal RNA
Source: RNAcentral
GAUGAACGCUGGCUACAGGCCUAACACAUGCAAGUCGAGGGGCAGCAUGGACUUAGCUUGCUAAGUCUGAUGGCGACCGGCGCACGGGUGAGUAACGCGUAUCCAACCUGCCCAUAUCCCGGGCAUAACCUUGCGAAAGCAAGCCUAAUUCCCGAUGUGUCCUGUGACGGCAUCAGAUCAGGAUGAAAGAUUUUUCGGAUAUGGAUGGGGAUGCGUCCGAUUAGCUUGACGGCGGGGUGACGGCCCACCGUGGCGACGAUCGGUAGGGGUUCUGAGAGGAAGGUCCCCCACAUUGGAACUGAGACACGGUCCAAACUCCUACGGGAGGCAGCAGUGAGGAAUAUUGGUCAAUGGGCGAGAGCCUGAACCAGCCAAGUAGCGUGCAGGAUGACGGCCCUAUGGGUUGUAAACUGCUUUUAUAAGGGAUAAAGUGAGUCUCGUGAGACUUUUUGCAUGUACCUUAUGAAUAAGGACCGGCUAAUUCCGU